GAUGAACGCUGGCGGUGUGCCUAAUACAUGCAAGUCGAGCGAGAAGUUUACUUCUAGCGGCGAACGGGUGAGUAACACGUAUCCAACCUACCUUUAAGUCUGGAAUAACAGCAAGAAAUUGUUGCUAAUGCCGGAUAGGUAAUAAUUGCUUAUGUUUUUAUUAUUAAAGAAGCGUUUGCUUCGCUAAAUGAUGGGGAUGCGCAGCAUUAGGUAGUUGGUAGGGUAAUUGCCUACCAAGCCAACGAUGCUUAGCCGGCCUGAGAGGGUGAUCGGCCACACUGGAACUGAGACACGGUCCAGACUCCUACGGGAGGCGAGCAGUAGGGAAUUUUUCGGACAAGUGGGGGAAACCCUGAUCGAGCAACACCGCGUGAGGGAUGACGGAUC
RNAcentral lists this ribosomal RNA (387 nucleotides) under uncultured bacterium. RNAcentral's name for it is "bacterial SSU rRNA". It matches the Rfam family "Bacterial small subunit ribosomal RNA", at positions 28 to 417 of the family's 1533-position model. The record is from RNAcentral.